GUAGGUGGCAAGCGUUGUCCGGAAUUAUUGGGCGUAAAGCGCGCGCAGGCGGGUCCUUUAAGUCUGAUGUGAAAGCCCACGGGCUCAACCGUGGAGGGUCAUUGGAAACUGGGGGACUUGAGUACAGAAGAGGAAAGCGGAAUUCCAAGUGUAGCGGUGAAAUGCGUAGAGAUUUGGAGGAACACCAGUGGCGAAGGCGGCUUUCUGGUCUGUAACUGACGCUGAGGCGCGAAAGCGUGGGGAGCAAACAGGAUUAGAUACCCUGGUAGUCCACGCCGUAAACGAUGAGUGCUAAGUGUUAGGGGGUUUCCGCCCCUUAGUGCUGCAGCUAACGCAUUAAGCACUCCGCCUGGGAAGUACGGCCGCAAAGGCUG
Molecule: ribosomal RNA, 374 nt
Filed under: uncultured organism
Description: partial 16S ribosomal RNA
Rfam family: Bacterial small subunit ribosomal RNA
Source: RNAcentral